GUCGGGUUAGCAGACAUAAUGCAUACGGCUUAGGUCCGUAAGGUGCGGCUUAAAGUGCCGUGCCCGA
RNAcentral lists this transfer RNA (67 nucleotides) under Dicyathifer mannii. RNAcentral describes it as "tRNA-Leu". The record is from RNAcentral. Lineage: Eukaryota; Metazoa; Mollusca; Bivalvia; Myida; Teredinidae.